RNAcentral lists this unclassified non-coding RNA (332 nucleotides) under soil metagenome. RNAcentral describes it as "partial contains 5.8S ribosomal RNA, internal transcribed spacer 2, and large subunit ribosomal RNA". The stretch from base 1 to 120 matches the Rfam family "5.8S ribosomal RNA", at positions 35 to 154 of the family's 154-position model. The record is from RNAcentral.
GAUGAAGAACGUAGCGAAAUGCGAUAAGUAAUGUGAAUUGCAGAAUUCAGUGAAUCAUCGAAUCUUUGAACGCACAUUGCGCCCCCUGGUAUUCCGGGGGGCAUGCCUGUUCGAGCGUCAUUUCACCACUCAAGCCUCGCUUGGUAUUGGGCGACGCGGUCCGCCGCGCGCCUCAAAUCGACCGGCUGGGUCUUUCGUCCCCUCAGCGUUGUGGAAACUAUUCGCUAAAGGGUGCCGCGGGAGGCCACGCCGUAAAACAACCCCAUUUCUAAGGUUGACCUCGGAUCAGGUAGGGAUGCCCGCUGAACUUAAGCAUAUCAAUAAGCGGAGGA